RNAcentral lists this ribosomal RNA (440 nucleotides) under uncultured bacterium. RNAcentral's name for it is "partial 16S ribosomal RNA". It matches the Rfam family "Bacterial small subunit ribosomal RNA", at positions 338 to 795 of the family's 1533-position model. The record is from RNAcentral.
CCUACGGGCGGCUGCAGUAGGGAAUAUUGCUCAAUGGGGGAAACCCUGAAGCAGCAACGCCGCGUGGAGGAUGAAGGUUUUCGGAUUGUAAACUCCUUUUGUUAGAGAAGAUAAUGACGGUAUCUAACGAAUAAGCACCGGCUAACUCCGUGCCAGCAGCCGCGGUAAUACGGAGGGGGCAAGCGUUACUCGGAAGCACUGGGCGUAAAGAGGGCGUAGGCGGGAUAGCAAGUCAGAUGUGAAAUCCUAUGGCUUAACCAUAGAACUGCAUUUGAAACUGUUAUUCUAGAGUAUGGGAGAGGUAGGUGGAAUUCUUGGUGUAGGGGUAAAAUCCGUAGAGAUCAAGAGGAAUACUCAUUGCGAAGGCGACCUGCUAGAACAUAACUGACGCUGAUGCGCGAAAGCGUGGGGAGCAAACAGGAUUAGAUACCCCAGUAGUC